RNAcentral lists this transfer RNA (74 nucleotides) under Caloramator australicus RC3. It matches the Rfam family "tRNA". Rfam says of the family: Transfer RNA (tRNA) molecules are approximately 80 nucleotides in length. The record is from Rfam by way of RNAcentral. Lineage: Bacteria; Bacillati; Bacillota; Clostridia; Eubacteriales; Clostridiaceae.
UGGGCAGUAGCCAAGUCGGUAAGGCACGGGACUUUGACUCCCGCAUUUCGUAGGUUCGAGUCCUACCUGCCCAG